RNAcentral lists this long non-coding RNA (708 nucleotides) under Pongo abelii (Sumatran orangutan). RNAcentral's name for it is "lincRNA". Lineage: Eukaryota; Metazoa; Chordata; Mammalia; Primates; Hominidae. The record is from RNAcentral.
CGAGUGGAGGAAUCCUAGGGUGUGCCUGGAGGUGGCGGAGUGUACCGACGCGGGUGUGAGCGCGUGUGCCAGCGAGGGUGGGCACGGGGGUGAGCGUGGCAAGGGCAGCAGCACCUGCUUGAAACCAAGCCCGGCGACCUGGCAAGGUGGGGCCCCCUACCGCGCAAGCUUUGCGACUAGCCCCCGGCUCUCAGCUCCGAGUGCAGAGGCUGAAGAGGUACCCGGGGGACACACUGCCUCUAACCCCACGUAUGAGCCGCUCUCCUCUCGGAGGGCGAAGGCACCAUCGGAAGGUGGAGAUUCGCCCUUCUCUCCCGCCACGUCUACCCACUACCCAGACCGGGAGUCUGGACUUGGGAGCGUGAACUCUCACCCGAGCCGGUCCCCUUACAACUGGAGCCCGCCCAGCCCCUCAGUCCGUCCCUGAAGCCCAUGGGUCCCCACUGCUCCGUGCCUCGUCGACCCAGGAUGGGAGUGGGAAGGUCAGCAUGUGCCCACAGGGCCAGGUGUCCGGCCCAGAUUCCCACCCUCAGGGCGGCGGCGCGCAAAGGGCGCAGUCCCCGCCGCGGGGCGGACCCGCGGCUCCGGCUUUCCCGGUGUCUCCAGCCUCGGUGCCCGGAAUCCUGGAUCUCGGCCUGGCGCUCCGGAAGCGAGGCAGCUCCGGGCCCCAGCAGGGACGGGGAACGCUUGGCUUGAGAGAUUACAUUU